This 591-nucleotide unclassified non-coding RNA is filed under the name uncultured Frankia sp. RNAcentral describes it as "bacterial SSU rRNA". The stretch from base 1 to 451 matches the Rfam family "Bacterial small subunit ribosomal RNA", at positions 1085 to 1533 of the family's 1533-position model. Lineage: Bacteria; Bacillati; Actinomycetota; Actinomycetes; Frankiales; Frankiaceae. The record is from RNAcentral.
UCCCGCAACGAGCGCAACCCUCGUCCUAUGUUGCCAGCGAGUUAUGUCGGGGACUCAUAGGAGACUGCCGGGGUCAACUCGGAGGAAGGUGGGGAUGACGUCAAGUCAUCAUGCCCCUUACGUCCUGGGCUGCACACAUGCUACAAUGGCCGGUACAAAGGGCUGCGAUACCGCGAGGUGGAGCGAAUCCCAAAAAGCCGGUCUCAGUUCGGAUCGGGGUCUGCAACUCGACCCCGUGAAGUCGGAGUCGCUAGUAAUCGCAGAUCAGCAAUGCUGCGGUGAAUACGUUCCCGGGCCUUGUACACACCGCCCGUCACGUCACGAAAGUCGGUAACACCCGAAGCCGGUGGCCUAACCCUUGUGGGGGGAGCCGUCGAAGGUGGGACCGGCGAUUGGGACGAAGUCGUAACAAGGUAGCCGUACCGGAAGGUGCGGCUGGAUCACCUCCUUUCUAAGGAGCGUCUGGCUGGUCUGUCCUGUUGGGGGUGGGCUGGUUCAGGGCCAUGGCCGGAUGUGCAUGCCGGUCUGGUUGCUCAUGGGUGGAACGCUGACGAUAGGGCUGCUGGUUGGCCUGCUGGGUGUCUAGUACUC